GAUGAACGCUGGCGGCGUGCCUAAUACAUGCAAGUCGAGCGAACAGACGAGGAGCUUGCUCCUUUGACGUUAGCGGCGGACGGGUGAGUAACACGUGGAUAACCUACCUAUAAGACUGGGAUAACUUCGGGAAACCGGAGCUAAUACCGGAUAACAUGUUGAACCGCAUGGUUCAACAGUGAAAGACGGUCUUGCUGUCACUUAUAGAUGGAUCCGCGCCGCAUUAGCUAGUUGGUAAGGUAGCGGCUUACCAAGGCAACGAUGCGUAGCCGACCUGAGAGGGUGAUCGGCCACACUGGAACUGAGACACGGUCCAGACUCCUACGGGAGGCAGCAGUAGGGAAUCUUCCGCAAUGGGCGAAAGCCUGACGGAGCAACGCCGCGUGAGUGAAGAAGGUCUUCGGAUCGUAAACCUCUGUUAUUAGGGAAGAACAAAUGUGUAAGUAACUAUGCACGUCUUGACGGUACCUAAUCAGAAAGCCACGGCUAACUACGUG
RNAcentral lists this ribosomal RNA (497 nucleotides) under uncultured bacterium. Its description in RNAcentral is "partial 16S ribosomal RNA". It matches the Rfam family "Bacterial small subunit ribosomal RNA", at positions 28 to 507 of the family's 1533-position model. The record is from RNAcentral.